GCGUAACGCGUAUGCAACCUACCUUCAACAGGGGAAUAGCCCAGAGAAAUUUGGAUUAAUGCCCCAUGGUAAGGGGAUGUCUCCUGACAUCCACUUUAAAGCUUCGGCGGUUGAAGAUGGGCAUGCGUUCUAUUAGCUAGAUGGUGUGGUAACGGCACACCAUGGCUACGAUAGAUAGGGGCCCUGAGAGGGGGAUCCCCCACACUGGUACUGAGACACGGACCAG
RNAcentral lists this ribosomal RNA (226 nucleotides) under uncultured bacterium. Its description in RNAcentral is "partial 16S ribosomal RNA". It matches the Rfam family "Bacterial small subunit ribosomal RNA", at positions 108 to 334 of the family's 1533-position model. The record is from RNAcentral.